GACGAACGCUGGCGGCGUGCUUAACACAUGCAAGUCGAGCGGUAAGGCCCUUUCGGGGGUACACGAGCGGCGAACGGGUGAGUAACACGUGGGUGACCUGCCCUCAGCUCUGGGAUAAAGCCUGGGAAAACCGGGUCUAAAUACUGGAUAUGACUCCAUGACGCAUGUUGUGGGGUGGAAAAGCCUUGUGCGGCUGAGGAUGGGCCCGCGGCCUAUCAGCUUGUUGGUGGGGUGANGGCCUACCAAAGGCGACGACGGGGUAGCCGGCCUGAGAGGGCGACCGGCCACACU
Molecule: ribosomal RNA, 291 nt
Filed under: uncultured bacterium
Lineage: Bacteria
Description: partial 16S ribosomal RNA
Rfam family: Bacterial small subunit ribosomal RNA
Source: RNAcentral